GUGAUAAGUCAGUAAUUCAAAAUCAAAUAAAACAGUUACAGUCAGGUAUUGGGGGGUUAAAAAUAAUAUUUCUAAAGUGUUCAUAAGGGAUAAAGGUGCUCAAGUUCAGGUCCUGUUGUUAAAUAAUCCAGGAGUUUGCUGCACUAACACUAAAAGCAGUUGCACAGGUUUGCAUUUCAAAUCCGUCUGCAGUUUCCAAAUCGGUGCGCACAGAUUUUUAUCAACUGUGCAUACAAAUCUGCAAACUGUGGGGUGGGGAUUUUGGAAAUUGCUUUCUAUUUUUUUUAAAUAACUGUGUUAAUUAAUUGUUUUAUUUUAGUGUCUGAAAGAACAACAGACACUUACAGUGUUGCAAACAUUUUGAUGAUUUUUUUCACGACUUCCAUUUCAGCAUAAAUGUCACCUAAGCACCAUGAUUUGUAUUUUAAAAUGAAAUAUUGUUUUGUAUAUAAUUCACAAUAAUUGCUAAAAAUAAAAUCUGCCCCCUCCGUCAGUGUCUCUAGACAACUUUGGUCACCUAGCAACAGACCCAGGAAGUUCUAAAUCUACCUGAUCGUCUUCUAGCAUGCGGAUUGCUUUGUUGUUGUUUUUUAACUCUUGACAGUUUGACCUCUGACCUUUUGUAUCUUUGACAUCUUUUGUAACUUCACUGAACUUUGUUUUUAAAAGUUUCAGACUACAGGAGGAGACUCGGCAUGUCUAAAGGCUUUCUGUGCCGUCAGGGUUGAAAACAAACAGUGAGAGUUUCUCUCUGUGGUCAGCGGGUGUUAAACACAUUUAAAAUGAGGCUGACAGACCGAGGUCAACAUGGGGGAAAGGAAAAUGAUGAAGAAGACGAUUUAUGAAAACAUGUAAAAUGACACUUCUGUUAACUUUUUGUUUAUCAAGAAAAUGUUUGAAUCUGCAUUAAAACUGAAAAAACUAUUUUUUGGUAUAUUUUCUAUUUUUGUACUCAGUCAGAUUCUUCUGAUGAUGUCAUUUCAAAUGUCGAUAAGAGUUAAUAAACUGAGCUUUUAUAUCAA
This is a non-coding RNA of Labrus bergylta (ballan wrasse), 1022 nucleotides long. The record is from RefSeq and is a predicted model, not a curated record. Lineage: Eukaryota; Metazoa; Chordata; Actinopteri; Labriformes; Labridae.